This 108-nucleotide small nuclear RNA is filed under the name Myotis lucifugus (little brown bat). Lineage: Eukaryota; Metazoa; Chordata; Mammalia; Chiroptera; Vespertilionidae. The record is from RNAcentral.
CUGCUCGCUUCGGCAGCACAGGUACUCAAAUUGUGAACGGCACGGAGAAGGUUAGCACCACCCUGGCGCCAGGAUGACAUGCAAACUCGUCACAGGGAAAGCUGUGUC